Molecule: ribosomal RNA, 406 nt
Filed under: uncultured eukaryote
Lineage: Eukaryota
Description: SSU rRNA
Rfam family: Eukaryotic small subunit ribosomal RNA
Source: RNAcentral
AGCUCCAAUAGCGUAUAUUAAUGUUGUUGCAGUUAAAAAGCUCGUAGUUGGAUUUCGAAUGGGAGCGGUGGGUCGGGUCCGCAAGGGCUCGUUACCUGAUUCGUCUCCGGUUCUUUUUCGGGAUAUUCUGGCGUGGCUGGCAUUGAGUUGUCGGUGGCGUCGGGCCCGUCGUUUACUGUGAACAAAUUAGAGUGUUCAAAGCAAGGUGUGUCUUGAAUACAUUAGCAUGGAAUAAUGAGAUAGGACUUUGGUGGUUUCGGUGAAAGCCGGAUAUUUUGUUGGUUUGCACGCCAAAGUAAUGAUUAAUAGGAGCAGUUGGGGGUAUUCGUAUUCAAUUGUCAGAGGUGAAAUUCUUGGAUUUCUAGAAGACGAACUACUGCGAAAGCAUUUACCAGGGAUGUUUUCA